Molecule: long non-coding RNA, 365 nt
Organism: Lontra canadensis (Northern American river otter)
Lineage: Eukaryota; Metazoa; Chordata; Mammalia; Carnivora; Mustelidae
Exons: 3
Source: RefSeq, a predicted model, not a curated record
AGGCUGGGCGGAGCCAUGAUAAGAUGCUAUCUGGGAAAAGGUUCUGGGCAAGGAGAGGAUUCACCUUUGGGAAGGAGAGAGUGGGCCCAGAUAGCCCGCGGGCUCGCCCCGCAGAGGGAUGGAUUCAGGGGAACAGGAGCCGCACCCCCACCCCAAGAGGAGAGAGCACGCCGAGGUCACCCUGGUCACCUGUCAGAGGACAGAUGUUCCAAAAGAGGCAUCUCGAAUAGAAACAAUGCACCUAACAGCAGAGCCCCGCAAUGCAUGAGCAAAGCCUGACAGCAAUGAAGGGCAAAUAGACAAUUCAACAGUAGUGGCUGGAGGCCCCAGAAAGCACGAGGAGCAGCCACAGAAAAGACAAACUG